RNAcentral lists this ribosomal RNA (403 nucleotides) under uncultured bacterium. RNAcentral describes it as "bacterial SSU rRNA". It matches the Rfam family "Bacterial small subunit ribosomal RNA", at positions 329 to 731 of the family's 1533-position model. The record is from RNAcentral.
AGCCAGACUCCUACGGGAGGCAGCAGUGGGGAAUAUUGCACAAUGGGGGAAACCCUGAUGCAGCGACGCCGCGUGAGUGAAGAAGUAUUUCGGUAUGUAAAGCUCUAUCAGCAGGGAAGAAAUAGCGACCUUUGGGUCGCCAGACGGUACCUGAUUAAGAAGCCCCGGCUAACUACGUGCCAGCAGCCGCGGUAAUACGUAGGGGGCAAGCGUUAUCCGGAUUUACUGGGUGUAAAGGGAGCGUAGACGGCAGCGCAAGUCUGAAGUGAAAUGCCGGGGCUUAACCCCGGAACUGCUUUGGAAACUGUGCAGCUAGAGUGCAGGAGAGGUAAGUGGAAUUCCUAGUGUAGCGGUGAAAUGCGUAGAUAUUAGGAGGAACACCAGUGGCGAAGGCGGCUUACUG